This 253-nucleotide ribosomal RNA is filed under the name uncultured bacterium. Its description in RNAcentral is "partial 16S ribosomal RNA". It matches the Rfam family "Bacterial small subunit ribosomal RNA", at positions 524 to 776 of the family's 1533-position model. The record is from RNAcentral.
UACGGAGGGGGCGAGCGUUAUUCGGAAUUAUUGGGCGUAAAGGGCGCGUAGGCGGCUGUACAAGUCAAAGGUGAAAGCCCCCGGCUCAACUGGGGAGGGUCACGCGAUACUGAUCGACUCGAAGGCAGGAGAGGGAAGUGGAAUUCCCGGUGUAGUGGUGAAAUGCGUAGAUAUCGGGAGGAACACCAGUGGCGAAGGCGACUUCCUGGCCUGUUCUUGACGCUGAGGCGCGAAAGCUAGGGGAGCAAACGGG